RNAcentral lists this ribosomal RNA (1154 nucleotides) under uncultured organism. Its description in RNAcentral is "bacterial SSU rRNA". It matches the Rfam family "Bacterial small subunit ribosomal RNA", at positions 306 to 1489 of the family's 1533-position model. The record is from RNAcentral.
CCCCACAAUGGAACUGAGACACGGUCCAUACUCCUACGGGAGGCAGCAGUGAGGAAUAUUGCGCAAUGGGGGCAACCCUGACGCAGCAACGCCGCGUGGAUGAUGAAGGCCUUCGGGUUGUAAAAUCCUUUUCCGGGGGAAGAAUCAUGACGGUACCUCGGGAAUAAGUCCCGGCUAACUACGUGCCAGCAGCCGCGGUAAAACGUACGGGGCGAGCGUUAUCCGGAUUUACUGGGCGUAAAGCGCACGUAGGCGGCGCUGUAAGUUGGGCGUGAAAGCUCCCGGCUCAACUGGGAGAGGUCGUUCAAAACUGCAGUGCUUGAGGUUGGAAGAGGAGAGUGGAAUUCCCGGUGUACUGGUGGAAUGCGUAGAUAUCGGGAGGAACACCAGUGGCGAAGGCGGCUCUCUGGUCCAACCCUGACGCUGAGGUGCGAAAGCGUGGGGAGCGAACGGGAUUAGAUACCCCGGUAGUCCACGCUGUAAACGAUGGAUACUAGGUGUGGGAGGUUACUUACCCCUUCCGUGCCGUAGCUAACGUGAUAAGUAUCCCGCCUGGGGACUACGGCCGCAAGGUUAAAACUCAAAGGAAUUGACGGGGGCCCGCACAAGCAGCGGAGCGUGUGGUUUAAUUCGAUGAUACGCGAAGAACCUUACCUGGGCUUGACAUGUUGGUAGUAGUGAAGCGAAAGCGGAUCGACCCUUCGGGGAGCCAUCACAGGUGCUGCAUGGCUGUCGUCAGCUCGUGUCGUGAGAUGUUGGGUUAAGUCCCGCAACGAGCGCAACCCUUGUCGUUAGUUACAUGUGUCUAGCGAGACUGCCGGUACCAAACCGGAGGAAGGUGGGGAUGACGUCAAGUCAGCAUGGUCUUUAUGUCCAGGGCUACACACACGCUACAAUGGCCGGUACAAUAGGUUGCCACACCGCGAGGUGGAGCUAAUCCCAAAGCCGGUCUCAGUUCGGAUUGUAGUCUGCAACUCGACUGCAUGAAGGCGGAGUUGCUAGUAACCGCGCGUCAGCAAUAGUGCGGUGAAUGCGUUCCCGGGCAUUGUACACACCGCCCGUCACAUCACGGAAGUCGGUAACACACUGAAGUCGGCGACCCAACCGCAAGGAGGGAGCUGCCUAAGGUGGGAUCGCACCUGGGAUGAAGUCGU